AGAGAGUCCUCCUUGCAAGCCCUUUGAUGAACCAGUUCCUUCCACUCAUCGGCCUUUCGUAGGGCAGUUGUACCUGAGGAGAGAUAAAUACACUGAUGGAAGGACAGGAGUAUACUGAUGGUGGAUAGAGUAACGCAAGAUGAUUUGCAGAGUUUGCGGGAAUGGGUGUCUCCCAGAUGAACAUGCAAAUCCCAUCACUCAGCAUUGUUUUUCAGUCUUCUGUUACCUCUGCCUGGUUUAUCAGCCUUUAUUUUAUUACAAGACAUGAAGAGGAAUAAAACUAUCAUUUAUCUUAUCUGUUUAUUUGUAUGUGUUUCAGUGAUUGACAGUUUUGUGCAUUAAAUUGUGUAUGUUUGG
Molecule: long non-coding RNA, 357 nt
Organism: Chelonia mydas (Green sea turtle)
Lineage: Eukaryota; Metazoa; Chordata; Testudines; Cheloniidae
Exons: 2
Source: RefSeq, a predicted model, not a curated record